ACCUGCUCACUGAAUAUUUUGAAGAGCCGCGGUAUUUUGACCGUGCAAAGGUAGCAUAAUCAUUAGUCUCUUAAUUAGGGGCUGGAAUGAAUGGUUUGACGAGAAAUCUACUGUCUCUUAAUAAAUUUUAUAAUUUAACUUUUGAGUUAAAAGGCUUAAAUUUUUCUUUAGGACGAGAAGACCCUAUAGAGCUUAACAUUUAUAUUUAUAUAUAUUAUUUGGUUUAGUUUUUUUAUAUUAAAUGAUAAUGUUUUGUUGGGGUGACAUAAAGAAUAUAUAAACUCUUUAUUAUUAAUUCAUUAAUUUAUGUAUUUAUUGAUCCAUAAUUUAUGAUCAUAAGAUUAAGUUACCUUAGGGAUAACAGCGUAAUUAUUUUUUAGAGCUCAUAUCAACAAAAUAGAUUGCGACCUCGAUGUUGGAUUAAGAAAAAUUUUAGGGUGUAGUAGCUCAAUAAUUAGGUCUGUUCGACCUUUAAAUUCUU
RNAcentral lists this ribosomal RNA (481 nucleotides) under Cannula karschi. RNAcentral's name for it is "partial 16S ribosomal RNA". It matches the Rfam family "Bacterial large subunit ribosomal RNA", at positions 1857 to 2597 of the family's 2925-position model. Lineage: Eukaryota; Metazoa; Arthropoda; Insecta; Orthoptera; Acrididae. The record is from RNAcentral.